GGACGGCGCCGGGAGGAGCCGCGGGGCCCCGGUGGCGGUCCCUGUGCCGGUGGCGGUCCCGGUGCCGGUCCGGGCGCUGCCUCCCCCCGUUGCCGCUCGGGGCGCGGCUGUUGGGGCGGGAGCGGGGCGGCCAGCCCGGGGCCCGGCCCUCGGUGCUUUCAGGGGAAAAGACUGGCGUUUGGUGUACAGGUUAUUUAACGGUUCUGUUCGGACACGAGUGUUCCUUCCCCUCCUCCUCCUCGGCUCCGUGCGGGGCCCCAGCAUGAGAUGUUUCUGUAAAGCGACCCGCGAUUGCAGCGUGAAAACAAUAAAUACGUUAACACUGGGGCCGCGCUGGGGACGUCCCGCCGAGUCGCCGUCGUUUGAUCUCCCCGGGGCUCCCCGCUGGGGCGCGGGGGGACCGGGCCGUGCCGUGCCGUGCCCCUGGCGGAGCGCAGCGCCCCGUGACAGGGGAGGCGCCCGGCAGCCGCUCCAGGGAAACACCUCCGGGAGCUCCCGCGGCCAGCCCGAGCUCUAUUUUUUUUUUUUCCCUACACGUGGAGCCGUGAGCGUAAAGGGAGAGCACGUGGAGUCGCCGCUGGGAGUCACUGUGCGGGCCCGUGCUGCGGGCCGGGCUCUGGCUGUGAGCAGAGGUACAUCAGAAGAUAAAGUAAAAAGAAAGAUGCAUCUUUCUUAAGUUUUUUGGAAUGCCAAAAGUGAUCAGUCCAGAUGGUAUUUUCUUAGGAACUAUCUGUGAUAACAGAUAAAAAGAACAGAUAAGUAAAGAGUUUCUAAUUUCCAAGUUCUUUCUUAAAACAGGGGCAAGUGUGUUUGCUAUUAACAUAUGAGAGCAUAAGUGACAUAUUUAGUGUCUAAUAUUUUUGUUUUGAAUUUUUGGUUUGUGUUUUUAAGAAAUAUUAAGAAUAUUAAUAUAUUGUCUUUUGUGUGGCCAGACAGACCCUGAUGAAAGCUAAUAAUGGCAUUGUAGCAUAAACCUGUCCCCGGGUUUUACCGUGUAAAUUGUGUAGUUGACAUGUCCACUUUCUGAAAAAUUGCACUGACAGGAGUACCCUACUUGAGAUAUCUAUCAUGAGAGCAGUGUGUGUGCCCUCUCUCCCAAAUGAAAAAUGGAAUAUUUUCAACACCUGUUUCCGAUGCUUCUUUUCUCUGUUAAAUGUAUAAAUAUAAACAAUAUAUUUCAGACUUUACCAUUAUUUUGAUCUAUAUUUUCUUGUUAAACUAUGCAGCUGUGUAUUACAUGCAUAUUUUAAACAUUAUCUAA
This is a long non-coding RNA of Cygnus olor (mute swan), 1261 nucleotides long. RefSeq lists it as uncharacterized. Lineage: Eukaryota; Metazoa; Chordata; Aves; Anseriformes; Anatidae. The record is from RefSeq and is a predicted model, not a curated record. The transcript has 3 exons.